AACGAACGCUGGCGGCGUGCCUAACACAUGCAAGUCGAACGAGAAAGGGACUUCGGUCCUGAGUAAAGUGGCGCACGGGUGAGUAAUACGUAGGUAACCUGCCUCUAAGAUCGGGAUAACCCGUCGAAAGACGAGCUAAUACCGGAUAAGACCACGGUCCCUUCGGGGACAGGGUCAAAGGUAGCCUCUGCAUGCAAGCUAUCACUUAGAGAUGGGCCUGCGCACCAUUAGCUAGUUGGUAGGGUAACGGCCUACCAAGGCAAAGAUGGUUAGCUGGUCUGAGAGGAUGAUCAGCCACACUGGAACUGAGAUACGGUCCAGACUCCUACGGGUGGCUG
This 338-nucleotide ribosomal RNA is filed under the name uncultured Pseudomonadota bacterium. Its description in RNAcentral is "bacterial SSU rRNA". It matches the Rfam family "Bacterial small subunit ribosomal RNA", at positions 29 to 351 of the family's 1533-position model. The record is from RNAcentral. Lineage: Bacteria; Pseudomonadati; Pseudomonadota.